Molecule: unclassified non-coding RNA, 434 nt
Filed under: Enochrus melanocephalus
Lineage: Eukaryota; Metazoa; Arthropoda; Insecta; Coleoptera; Hydrophilidae
Description: sequence contains ITS2
Source: RNAcentral
AUCGACAUUUCGAACGCACAUUGCGGUCCUCGGAUACUGUUCCUGGACCACUCCUGGCUGAGGGUCGCAUCCAUCAGACUGCCGGCCUUUCGUCCUCCGGGACGGARGCGCCGCGCGCAAUUGAGAGUUCGCUCGGGUUCCCGCACGGGUCCCGCCGGCGUCUCUUCAAAUCACUGACGGCCGUUUCCGAGCGCCCCGUCCCUCUCCCCCUCCGGGGGGCAGCAGGCGGCGACGUCGUUCGGUACGGCUUCUUGAGCGUCGGCGCUUUGCGCCCGUACGGUUCCGCGUUGAGCGCGCGGCCGCCCGGCUGACGUGUCCUAGACUAAUUUAUUACGACUAGNAAGACNUCCGGCUUGUGUUUUUGUGGCCCGCGUGCGGNAGCACACCAAACGUACGGUUGCGCNUNAUNNNNAAGCGCCGCGCGNAAGCUUUGC